Molecule: ribosomal RNA, 457 nt
Filed under: uncultured bacterium
Lineage: Bacteria
Description: partial 16S ribosomal RNA
Rfam family: Bacterial small subunit ribosomal RNA
Source: RNAcentral
CCUACGGGUGGCAGCAGUGGGGAAUAUUGCACAAUGGGGGAAACCCUGAUGCAGCGACGCCGCGUGAGUGAAGAAGUAUUUCGGUACGUAAAGCUCUAUCAGCAGGGAAGAAAAAAAGUCCUUUGGACUUUGGACGGUACUUGACCAAGAAGCCCCGGCUAACUACGGGCCAGCAGCCGCGGGAAUACGGCGGGGGCAAGCGUCAUCCGGAUUUACUGGGUGUAAAGGGAGCGUAGGCGGCAGCGCAAGUCUGGAGUGAAAUGACGGGGCCCAACCCCGGAACUGCUUUGGAAACUGUGGAGCGGGAGUGCAGGAGAGGUAGGCGGAAUUCCUGGUGUAGCGGUGAAAUGCGUAGAUAUUAGGAAGAACCCCGGUGGCGAAGGCAGCUUACUGGACUGUAACUGACGUUGAGGCUCGAAAGCGUGGGGAGCAAACAGGAUUAGAUACCCCUGUAGUC